GCAAGUUGCGCCCAAAGCCAUUAGACCAAUGGCACGUCUGCCUGGGCGUCACGCAUCGCGUCGCCCCCUCGCAUUGUACCUUAAUCACGGGGUGUGAUAUCAUCGCGGUGUGUAUAUUGGCCUCCCGUGCACCUCGAGCUCGUGGCUGGCCUAAAUGUGAGUCUCCAUUGAUGGACAUCACAUCAAGUGGUGGUUCUAACUCAACUCCCUUUGCUGUCAAAGCUACUGCCCGUUGUGCGUUUGGACACCCUGAUCUUACCUCUAUUAGGCGCUCUAACAGUGACCCCGGGUCGGCAACUGCACAUUUCGAACGAUGGCCUGUAGUCUCCCCAUUCGACCCAUCUUGAAACACAGACCAAGAAGUCUGACAUCUGUGUGAAUAAAUGGGAGAGAAAACCCAUAAUGCGCAAGGAAUCUGAUUGGUGGGAUCCCUUUAAGGGGUGCACCGCCUACCGACCUUGAUAUUCUGAGAAUGGUUCAAGUGUGAGCAUACCUAUCGGGACCCAAAAAAUAGUGAACAAUGCCUGAGCGGGGCAAAGCCAUAGAAAACUCUAGUAGAGGCCCGCAGCGCUACUGACGUGCACAUAGUUCGUCUGACUUGGGUAUAGGUGCGAAAGACUAAUCGAACUAUCUAGUAGCUGGUUCUCUCCGAAGUUUCCCCUAUGAUAGCUGGAACUCACGAGCGAUUUUUAUCGGGGAAAGCCAAUGAUUAGAGGCCUUAGGGGCACAAUGCCCUCGACCUAUUCUCAAACUUUAAAUAGGUAGGACAAUGCGGCUGCUUUGCUGAGCUACGCCACAGAAUCAAGAGCUCCAAGUAGGACAUUUUUGGUAAGCAGAACUGGUGAUAUGGGAUAAACCAAAAGUCCGGUUAUGGUGCCAAACUGCACAUUAACCUAGAUGCCACAAAGGGUGUUGGUUGAUUAAGACAGCAGGAUGAUGGUCAUUGAAGUCGAAAUUCACUAAAGAAUGUGUAACAACUCACUUUCUGAAUCAACUAGCCCAAAAAAUGGAUGGCGCUUAAACGCGCGACCUACACUCGGUUGUAAGGGCAAGUGCCAGGCCUCAAUGAGUAGGAGGGCGUGAUGGUCGUUGUAAAACCUUGGGCGCGAUCCUAGGUGGAGCGGCCGUCGGUGCAGAUCUUAGUGGUAGUAGAAAAUAUUCAAAUGAGAACUUUGAAGGCUGAAGAGGAGAGAGGUUCCAUGUGAACGACACUUGCAUAUGGGUUAGUCGAUCCUAAGGGUCCGGGGAACCCCGAUAGUAGUGCAUUUUGCACGUACUCCAAAAGGGAAUUGGGUUACAAUUCCUAAAUCGAGAUAUGGCGGUUGACGGCAACAUUAAGAAGUUUGGAUACGUCAGCGAGAGCCUUAGGAAGAGUUAUCUUUUUUGUUUAAUAGUCUGCCCACUCUGGAAUCGGCUCAGCCAUAGGUAGGGUUUAGCGGCUGGAAGAGCACCGCACGCCGCGUAGUGUCCGAUGCUCUCCCGACGGCCCUUGAAAAUCUAAAGGACCGAAUUCCAUCCACUCCCGAUCAUACUCAUAACUGUAUUAGGUCUCCAAGGUGAACAACCUCUAGUCGAUGGAACAAUGUAGGCAAGGAAAGUCGGUAAAAUGGAUCCGUAACUUUGGGAAAAGGAUUGACUCUGAGGGCUGGGCAUAGGGGUCCGAGUCCCGAACCCAUUAGUUGUCGGUUACUGCACGAGCUACUCCCACAGCAAGAGCGGUUUUCCGCGUACCAGUCGGGGGAUAGACAGGGAACAGUUCCUUCGAGGGCCUUUCCCGCGCGUAAAACAACCAACUCAGAACUGGUACGAACAAGGGGAAUCCGACUGUUUAACUAAAACAAAGCAUUAUGAUUAUUCCAAUGGAUGUUCACGCUAUGUGAUAUCUGCCCAGUGCUCUAAUUGUCAAAGUGAAGAAAUUUAACCAAGCGUAGGUAAACGGCGGGAGUAACUAUGACUCUCUUAAGGUAGCCAAAUGCCUCGUCAUCUAAUUACUGACGCACAAGAAUGGAUUAACGAGAUUCCCACUAUCCUUGUCUACUAUUCUUCCAAGCCACAGCCAAGGGAAUGUGCUUGGCAAAAUCAGUGGGGAAAAAAGACCCUGUAAAGCUUGACUCUAGUUCGACUUUGUGAAAUGACAUGAGAGGUUUAGUAUAAGUGGGAGCCGAAAGGCGAAAGUAAAAUACCACCACUUUUAACGUUAGUUUAUAUAUUUCGUGAAUUGGAAGCGGGGCACUGCCCCUAUUUUUGGACCCAAGGCUUGCUCUGCGGGCCGAUCCGGAUGGAAGACAUUGUCAGGUGGGGAGUUUGGCUGGGGCGGCACAUCUGUUAAAAGAUAAAGCAGGUGUCUGAAGAUGAGCUCAACAAGAACAAAAAAUCUCAUAUGGAAUAGAAAGGUAAAAGCUCAUUUGAUUAUGAUUUCCAGUACGAAUACGAUCCAUGAAAGCAUGGCCUAAUGAUCCUUUAGACUUUCAAAAUUCAAAGAUAUGGGGGUCAGAAAAGUUACCACUGGGAUUACUGGUUUAUGGCAGCAAAGCAUUCAUAUAGAUGUUGCUUUCUAAUGCUUCGAUGUUGACUGCUCCUAUCAUUAUGAAGUAGAAUUCACCUGUGUUGGAUUGUUCACCGACCAAAAGGGAACAUGAUCUGAGUUUAGACCAUCGUAAGACAGAUUAGUUUUGUCCUACUGAUGACAGUAUCGCAAUAGUAAUUCAACCUAGUACGAGAGAAACAAUUGAUUCUUAUAAUUGGUCAUCGUAUUUGGUUGAAAAGCUAGUGGCACGAAGCUAACAUGUGCUGGAUUAUAACUGAAUGCCUCUAAGUCAAAAUCCAGGCUAGAAGCAACGCAUGCGCUGACCGUCUACUUGCCGACCAACAGUAGGGGCCUCAUCCCCCAAGGGCACGUGUCGUUGGCUAAGCCACCGCGGCAAAAGGGUCGCAGUGGCCUCU
Molecule: ribosomal RNA, 2943 nt
Filed under: Capsicum baccatum
Lineage: Eukaryota; Viridiplantae; Streptophyta; Magnoliopsida; Solanales; Solanaceae
Description: eukaryotic LSU rRNA
Rfam family: Eukaryotic large subunit ribosomal RNA
Source: RNAcentral